RNAcentral lists this ribosomal RNA (855 nucleotides) under Triticum aestivum (bread wheat). RNAcentral describes it as "partial small subunit ribosomal RNA". Lineage: Eukaryota; Viridiplantae; Streptophyta; Magnoliopsida; Poales; Poaceae. The record is from RNAcentral.
AUGAUUGCCGCAUCGGCGCGGCGGGUCGCUGCCGCCGCCGCUUCCUCUUCCCCGUCCGGCCGUGUCUCCCAGCUGGCCUCGACGCUGAAUCACCAGAGAUGGAUUCACGACCGGAACAAGAAGGCAAUGGAGUUGGUGGCCAAGGGUUGGAGCGCCCUACAGGAGGUCGAUCGCGUCAUCGACUUCGCCGACCGCAACGACAAGCGACUAAUCCCACUUCUCAGGGGCGCAAAGGAGAACUUUGAGCUGGCUCUAGAGAUCGACAAUAUGAAUACUCAUGCGAGAUGUUGGCUGGCCAAGAUGCAUUUCAAGUACCAUGUUCCCGGGGCGUGCAAGGCAAUUGGUGCUGCUUUGCUUGUUGAAGCUGCGAACAUGGGUGAUCCAGAGGCACAGUAUGAACUUGGAUGUCGGCUAAGAGUUGAGAAUGAUCAUGUUCAGUCUGAUCAACAGGCCUUCCAUUAUAUAGAGAAAGCUGUUGACCAGUUGCAUCCUGGUGCUUUGUAUCUUCUUGGUGCUGUAUAUAUAACUGGGGAUUGCGUCAAGAGGGACAUAGCUUCAGCUAUGUGGUGUUUCCAUAGAGCUUCAGAAAAGGGACAUGCUGGAGCUGCAAUUGCAUAUGGUUCCCUUCUUCUGAAAGGUGCUGAAGUGCCUGAAGUCAUUACCAGGUUCAACUCAGGCAAGAGUCCGUCAACUGGGAAGGUGCGAAAAAGGACCAUACAGCAGGACUCAGUAAAGCUGGCAAAGGAGCAGUUCCAGAUAGCAGCUGAGUCUGGAUCUGACCUUGGUUUACGGUGGUUGAAGAGGCUUGGAGAUUACGAAAAACAGCCCGAAGAGCUAAAGCAAAUCCAGCAAUGA